This 256-nucleotide ribosomal RNA is filed under the name uncultured archaeon. RNAcentral describes it as "partial 16S ribosomal RNA". It matches the Rfam family "Bacterial small subunit ribosomal RNA", at positions 521 to 776 of the family's 1533-position model. The record is from RNAcentral.
UAAGACGUAGGGGGCGAGCGUUGUUCGGAUUUACUGGGCGUAAAGCGCGCGUAGGCGGCUAGGUAAGUCGGUUGUGAAAUCCCUCGGCUUAACCGAGGUCCCGCAUCCGAUACUGUCUGGCUCGAGUCUAGGAGAGGAAAGCGGAAUUCCCAGUGUAGCGGUGAAAUGCGUAGAUAUUGGGAGGAACACCGGUGGCGAAGGCGGCUUUCCGGACUAGUACUGACGCUGAGGCGCGAAAGCUAGGGGAGCGAACGGG